Pelodiscus sinensis (Chinese soft-shelled turtle) is the source of this 988-nucleotide non-coding RNA. The record is from RefSeq and is a predicted model, not a curated record. NCBI's taxonomy places the organism in Eukaryota, Metazoa, Chordata, Testudines, Trionychidae.
UAUUGACAAAUUGAAUAGUCGAUGCAAAGUGUAUCGACUAUUUGAAAUUUUACAUCCCUACCCCUAGUAAUCCUUUAAAAACACAAGUCUGUCUUGUGUUUUCCUUCUGUCAGCUCAUAACUCCCUUUCACUUCUUACAUUCUUUUAUAGCAUCUUUCUUGAUAUUGUGUACUCGAUUAGUCUUUCCUUUCCUGGAGAGAGCAAGUGACAGGCGAAGCUACUUUUCAGUCCAUUUACUUCAGUCUCAUUAGGAGCUGCACACAAUCGAGGAGUGUGACCCCCCACUACCACCAAGAACCCUGUGGAUUCUUCUGAAGGCACUGAGUCAGCAGAAAGAGGACUCAAAUCGGAGGAUGAAAUCAUAGAUGAAGUAGAGCUGGAUGAGACUGUGGAGCUCACAGCAGGAUUGCACAGUGUAGCAGGCAGCUAGGAACUGUUUUCAAGUCCUGAGGCGAAUGGCCAAUGUCAGCAGCAGUUCGAUGUGACGCAGGAAGCAGGGAAUGAUAUGCAGGAUGAAGCCUUGAGAAUUCAGAAGACUUCUUCCAGCAACAGACUGCAUCACCUAAAGAGCAGAUCCAGGCAAAAUAGGGAUGAUCUUGUGAGGGAGGUUUUGAACCAUUCCUCAGUUGAGCAGAAAGAGGAGCGAUAGCUGAGUGAAAGGCAAGAUAGGAAAGACAACCUUGAUCGUGCACUCAUUCGUAUGAAGGCGCAAACUAAGAUGCUCAAAUAUUUAAUCAAGCUGUAGAGGGAGCAGAACAGGCCUUGGCCUACCCUGCAGUACAUACAGAAUUCUUUGUCCAGCAACCCACCCUCCACACCCACAUGCUCCUUUUUACUGUUUCCACUCCACUCUACUCUAUCACAAUUGUUAUGACAGUUGAACUUUCACACAGUUGUGCGGCUUUACCCUGACCCUUACCAGCAAAUAUUGAUCAUUAGGUGUGUGACCAUGAUGUGCAGUGAUCAAUAAAGGCAAACAUUUUUAAUG